GCUUCUGGUAGGACUGUCAGCUGAAACUUUCUCUGAAUCUUUAUUCUUCCCUUACAACAGUGCUUUACGACCCGAAAGCCUUCAUCACACACGCGGCGUCCCUCCUUCACACUUGCGGGCUUUGGGAAAAAUUCCCUACGGCUGCCUCCCGUAGGAGUA
Molecule: ribosomal RNA, 159 nt
Filed under: uncultured Oenococcus sp.
Lineage: Bacteria; Bacillati; Bacillota; Bacilli; Lactobacillales; Lactobacillaceae
Description: partial 16S ribosomal RNA
Source: RNAcentral